This 2684-nucleotide ribosomal RNA is filed under the name Vibrio cholerae. RNAcentral's name for it is "partial 23S ribosomal RNA". It matches the Rfam family "Bacterial large subunit ribosomal RNA". Lineage: Bacteria; Pseudomonadati; Pseudomonadota; Gammaproteobacteria; Vibrionales; Vibrionaceae. The record is from RNAcentral.
GUUCAAAAUUUGAGUCUCUGCGAUUUCCGAAUGGGGAAACCCAACUGCACAAGCAGUUACUGUUAACUGAAUACAUAGGUUAACAGAGCAAACCGGGGGAACUGAAACAUCUAAGUACCCCGAGGAGAAGAAAUCAACCGAGAUUCCGGUAGUAGCGGCGAGCGAACCUGGAUUAGCCCUUAAGCACUCGUUGAAGUAGGUGAACAAGCUGGAAAGCUUGGCGAUACAGGGUGAUAGCCCCGUAACCGACGCUUCAUCGAGCGUGAAAUCGAGUAGGGCGGGACACGUGAUAUCCUGUCUGAAUAUGGGGGGACCAUCCUCCAAGGCUAAAUACUCCUGACUGACCGAUAGUGAACCAGUACCGUGAGGGAAAGGCGAAAAGAACCCCUGUGAGGGGAGUGAAAUAGAACCUGAAACCGUGUACGUACAAGCAGUAGGAGCACCUUCGUGGUGUGACUGCGUACCUUUUGUAUAAUGGGUCAGCGACUUAUAUUCAGUGGCAAGGUUAACCGUAUAGGGGAGCCGUAGCGAAAGCGAGUCUUAACUGGGCGCUCAGUCUCUGGAUAUAGACCCGAAACCGGGUGAUCUAGCCAUGGGCAGGUUGAAGGUUGAGUAACAUCAACUGGAGGACCGAACCGACUAAUGUUGAAAAAUUAGCGGAUGACUUGUGGCUAGGGGUGAAAGGCCAAUCAAACUCGGAGAUAGCUGGUUCUCCCCGAAAGCUAUUUAGGUAGCGCCUCGGACGAAUACUACUGGGGGUAGAGCACUGUUAAGGCUAGGGGGUCAUCCCGACUUACCAACCCUUUGCAAACUCCGAAUACCAGUAAGUACUAUCCGGGAGACACACGGCGGGUGCUAACGUCCGUCGUGGAGAGGGAAACAACCCAGACCGCCAGCUAAGGUCCCAAAGUAUUGCUAAGUGGGAAACGAUGUGGGAAGGCUCAGACAGCUAGGAUGUUGGCUUAGAAGCAGCCAUCAUUUAAAGAAAGCGUAAUAGCUCACUAGUCGAGUCGGCCUGCGCGGAAGAUGUAACGGGGCUAAGCAAUACACCGAAGCUGCGGCAAUGCCUUUUAGGUAUUGGGUAGGGGAGCGUUCUGUAAGCCGUUGAAGGUGGUCUGUAAGGGCUGCUGGAGGUAUCAGAAGUGCGAAUGCUGACAUGAGUAACGACAAAGGGGGUGAAAAACCUCCUCGCCGGAAGACCAAGGGUUCCUGUCCAACGUUAAUCGGGGCAGGGUGAGUCGACCCCUAAGGUGAGGCCGAAAGGCGUAAUCGAUGGGAAACGGGUUAAUAUUCCCGUACUUCUGACUAUUGCGAUGGGGGGACGGAGAAGGCUAGGUGGGCCAGGCGACGGUUGUCCUGGUUCAAGUGCGUAGGCUUAAGAGUUAGGUAAAUCCGGCUCUUUCUAAGGCUGAGACACGACGUCGAGCUGCUACGGCAGUGAAGUCAUUGAUGCCAUGCUUCCAGGAAAAGCCUCUAAGCUUCAGAUAGUCAGGAAUCGUACCCCAAACCGACACAGGUGGUCGGGUAGAGAAUACCAAGGCGCUUGAGAGAACUCGGGUGAAGGAACUAGGCAAAAUGGUACCGUAACUUCGGGAGAAGGUACGCUCUUGAUGGUGAAGUCCCUUGCGGAUGGAGCUGACGAGAGUCGCAGAUACCAGGUGGCUGCAACUGUUUAUUAAAAACACAGCACUGUGCAAAAUCGCAAGAUGACGUAUACGGUGUGACGCCUGCCCGGUGCCGGAAGGUUAAUUGAUGGGGUUAGCGCAAGCGAAGCUCUUGAUCGAAGCCCCGGUAAACGGCGGCCGUAACUAUAACGGUCCUAAGGUAGCGAAAUUCCUUGUCGGGUAAGUUCCGACCUGCACGAAUGGCGUAAUGAUGGCCACGCUGUCUCCACCCGAGACUCAGUGAAAUUGAAAUCGCUGUGAAGAUGCAGUGUACCCGCGGCUAGACGGAAAGACCCCGUGAACCUUUACUACAGCUUGGCACUGAACAUUGAACCUACAUGUGUAGGAUAGGUGGGAGGCUAUGAAGACGUGACGCUAGUUGCGUUGGAGCCGUCCUUGAAAUACCACCCUUGUAUGUUUGAUGUUCUAACUUAGACCCGUUAUCCGGGUUGAGGACAGUGCCUGGUGGGUAGUUUGACUGGGGCGGUCUCCUCCCAAAGAGUAACGGAGGAGCACGAAGGUGGGCUAAUCACGGUUGGACAUCGUGAGGUUAGUGCAAUGGCAUAAGCCCGCUUAACUGCGAGAAUGACGGUUCGAGCAGGUGCGAAAGCAGGUCAUAGUGAUCCGGUGGUUCUGUAUGGAAGGGCCAUCGCUCAACGGAUAAAAGGUACUCCGGGGAUAACAGGCUGAUACCGCCCAAGAGUUCAUAUCGACGGCGGUGUUUGGCACCUCGAUGUCGGCUCAUCACAUCCUGGGGCUGAAGUCGGUCCCAAGGGUAUGGCUGUUCGCCAUUUAAAGUGGUACGCGAGCUGGGUUUAGAACGUCGUGAGACAGUUCGGUCCCUAUCUGCCGUGGGCGUUGGAAGAUUGAAGGGGGCUGCUCCUAGUACGAGAGGACCGGAGUGGACGAACCUCUGGUGUUCGGGUUGUGUCGCCAGACGCAUUGCCCGGUAGCUAAGUUCGGAAUUGAUAAGCGCUGAAAGCAUCUAAGCGCGAAGCGAGCCCUGAGAUGAGUCUUCCC